AUUGAACGCUGGCGGCAGGCCUAACACAUGCAAGUCGGACGGUAGCACAGAGGAGCUUGCUCCUCGGGUGACGAGUGGCGGACGGGUGAGUAAUGUCUGGGGAUCUGCCCGAUAGAGGGGGAUAACCACUGGAAACGGUGGCUAAUACCGCAUAACGUCGCAAGACCAAAGAGGGGGACCUUCGGGCCUCUCACUACCGGAUGAACCCAGAUGGGAUUAGCUAGUAGGCGGGGUAAUGGCCCACCUAGGGUACGAUCCCUAGCUGGUCUGAGAGGAUGACCAGCCACACUGGAACUGAGACACGGUCCAGACUCCUACGGGAGGCAGCAGUGGGGAAUAUUGCACAAUGGGCGCAAGCCUGAUGCAGCCAUGCCGCGUGUAUGAAGAAGGCCUUCGGGUUGUAAAGUACUUUCAGCGGGGAGGAAGGCGGUGAGGUUAAUAACCUCACCGAUUGACGUUACCCGCAGAAGAAGCACCGGCUAACUCCGUGCCAGCAGCCGCCGUAA
This 506-nucleotide ribosomal RNA is filed under the name uncultured bacterium. Its description in RNAcentral is "partial 16S ribosomal RNA". It matches the Rfam family "Bacterial small subunit ribosomal RNA", at positions 29 to 523 of the family's 1533-position model. The record is from RNAcentral.